GCCAACGUAGCUCAGUCGGUAGAGCAACGGUUUCGUAAACCGUAGGUCAGGGGUUCAAGUCCCCUCGUUGGCU
This 73-nucleotide transfer RNA is filed under the name Candidatus Omnitrophota bacterium. Its description in RNAcentral is "Candidatus Omnitrophica bacterium tRNA-Thr". It matches the Rfam family "tRNA". Rfam says of the family: Transfer RNA (tRNA) molecules are approximately 80 nucleotides in length. Their secondary structure includes four short double-helical elements and three loops (D, anti-codon, and T loops). The record is from RNAcentral. Lineage: Bacteria; Pseudomonadati; Candidatus Omnitrophota.